GAUAAAAGAGAAGCGGGUCUCACUCUGGGAAAAUUUAACAUUUGAAACAACAUUAACAUAGCGAAUAUAACUGUUUGAACUAGUAUUUUCUUCCAUGUAAAGAGUGAAUUGUAACGUUUAAAUGUUUACUUUUUUCCGUG
Molecule: long non-coding RNA, 140 nt
Organism: Cotesia glomerata
Lineage: Eukaryota; Metazoa; Arthropoda; Insecta; Hymenoptera; Braconidae
Exons: 3
Source: RefSeq, a predicted model, not a curated record